UAAUUAUGAAAUAUUUUAGUUAAAUGAAUUUGGGAUUAUUGGUGUGUUAAUAAGCUUGAAUUGAUAGUUAGUGUUAGUCUAUUGAGUUAUGGUACGCAUUGUAUUAGUUUGGAUUGGAAAGGUGAAUCUUGACAUCUUGUACUCUAUGUAUCGUUAUGUGGUAUACUUGAAUCAAAGCAUGAUUAUGAUUAACUCAAUCUUGUUCACACAUUGCAAGGUGGUUUAGGACUUGGCAUAACAUGGCAAGAAAGGUUUCAUGGCAUGGAUUUAGAAGACCUUAUCCUGAAUCAUGGCUUGAAGAAGCAUAAUUUGAUUUGCACAUGAAGCAAGCUUGGAAUGUGAAGUCAAGGGAGAAAAUGGAAGAAUGAAGACACAAAAAGGAAAUUAGGGUUAUGUUUAGAAAGUCGGUUAGUUGACUUUGGUCAAAUGGUUGACCAAAAAGUCAACAGUUGACCAAAAGUCAACUGUAGGUCAAACUUUUUUUUUGUAGUUUUUGUAUUAGACUUUGCAAAUGAUAUUAGAUGAAUGCAAUGGACAAUUUGAUGGAAAGGAUGCUUUAAAUCAAUGCAAAAUGCUAUUUUUCCAUAUUGUAAUUUUUCCCGCCAAAACUAUGUUUGAAUUCUCCUUGAAUUAGAUGAGUUAUGAAUGCAUUAUGCACUAUGAAGUA
RNAcentral lists this long non-coding RNA (667 nucleotides) under Lathyrus oleraceus (garden pea). RNAcentral's name for it is "Pisum sativum (pea) long non-coding RNA (PSAT_LNC014433)". Lineage: Eukaryota; Viridiplantae; Streptophyta; Magnoliopsida; Fabales; Fabaceae. The record is from RNAcentral.